GAAGAGGCAGCCGUUGAGGCAGUGGAUUGUAGCUCUAAAGGUGAAGUAGUUUUCCCUCUUUA
Molecule: transfer RNA, 62 nt
Filed under: Xyloredo sp. E88
Lineage: Eukaryota; Metazoa; Mollusca; Bivalvia; Myida; Pholadidae
Also listed under: 1 other name
Description: tRNA-Tyr
Source: RNAcentral